UUCCUUUCUUUUCUAUGUAUUGAGAAAUUGAAUGAUUUGCUUUCCUCAGAGAUCGACUUUAUGAUUUCAUGAUCAUGUGGUUAAACUUCCUGGUGAAUGAGAUGCUGCCCAGAGGCCAUGUUAUUCUCCGUGACGCGGCAGAAUGUGGAUCACCACGUAGAAACCUGAGAAAGUACAUUCAUUUGUUAAGUUAUAAUUUCAGAAACCAUGAACCACAGACUGUGCUUGGGACUCCCUCUUCAUGUCUACUUUUACUUCAUCUACACACCCAUUACCCCAAGUGGAGGUUCUCAUUCCUUCUACCCUUUCAUCUCUGUUCUGCUCACUUAAGAAGCCGGAGGAGAUUUUUCUCCUAUAUCCUGUGGGAACCUGGUUGAGCUCCUGGAUGUAAAUCUCGGGUUCUUUCCAUGGUUUUUGCUUGUGAAUCUCUGCUCUGGGAAAACCCCCAGAUACUCUCAAAAAGAAGUGAAAGGAGAACUCAAGGAUACAAGUUUGCAGAUGCCCAUGAAGACUCGGAUUUGUUCUUUGGAAGACUUCUAUCCAAGUACAAAAUCAAGUAAGUGAGCAGAUCAUGUCAAAUAACCAGUGCAUUUGUUUUAAGUGUUUAGUCAAUUGGGUUUAAACUCAUGUUCGCAUACCAAUGGGAGUUCAAAGUCAUGAAAAAUCCUUGCCAACCCAAAUGGUUAAUUCCAAUUAUAAAAUUUCAAGUAAAUAACACAAAGGAGACAUUUAAUCUAACCACCUGUGUCCCAUUCUUUAAAACAAACCAUAAAAAAUAAAAAUAAAUAAAACAAAGCAGAAAAGGCCAAAAAAAUAACCAAAAACAAAAAACAAAAAAACAAAAAAAAACCCUCCAAAACCAAAAUCCCUAGGAGGAAAUUUCAGAAUCUUUAUAGAGUUUAAAAGUGAGGUUUUAGUAGGGCAUUUAUUGCAUUAUAUUCUCUCAUGUUACU
Long non-coding RNA from Mirounga angustirostris (Northern elephant seal), 953 nucleotides. RefSeq lists it as uncharacterized. The record is from RefSeq and is a predicted model, not a curated record. The transcript has 5 exons. NCBI's taxonomy places the organism in Eukaryota, Metazoa, Chordata, Mammalia, Carnivora, Phocidae.